AUUGGGCCUAAGCAUCCGUAGCCGGUUCUACAAGUCUUCCGUUAAAUCCACCUGCUCAACAGAUGGGCUGCGGAAGAUACUAUGGAGCUAGGAGGCGGGAGAGGCAAGCGGUACUCGAUGGGUAGGGGUAAAAUCCGUUGAUCCAUUGAAGACCACCAGUGGCGAAGGCGGCUUGCCAGAACGCGCUCGACGGUGAGGGAUGAAAGCUGGGGGAGCAAACCGGAUUAGAUACCCCCGUAGUCCAA
Molecule: ribosomal RNA, 245 nt
Filed under: uncultured crenarchaeote
Lineage: Archaea; Thermoproteati; Thermoproteota
Description: partial 16S ribosomal RNA
Rfam family: Archaeal small subunit ribosomal RNA
Source: RNAcentral